This is a long non-coding RNA of Oryzias melastigma (Indian medaka), 1266 nucleotides long. RefSeq lists it as uncharacterized. NCBI's taxonomy places the organism in Eukaryota, Metazoa, Chordata, Actinopteri, Beloniformes, Adrianichthyidae. The record is from RefSeq and is a predicted model, not a curated record. The transcript has 2 exons.
ACGUGGGUAAAUGGAUUUGGAGUUAAUUUAGUGAGUCAGAGGGUGAAACAGCCACCAGUGAUGUUUUAAGCUGCAGCAGCAACCUGAACGCUCAGAGCGCGGCAUCGGGGGCUGAUCUCUUCUGCUCUCCGACGGCAUUCUGCCUCACUGUGAGUCGAGGGCUGCAAUUAGAAAUACUGUAGUUUCCCAUCUGUGCUCUCAGUUCCUGCACCCUCUGACUUCAGACAUGCUUUUUUUUCAUUUAUUUGUCUGAGAGGUUUUGUAAACUGCUGCAGGAAGAAGAUGUUUUAUUAAUGAUUAUUCUGGUUGAUUGACUAACAAACCCUGAGGCGUUCUGCUUCCUUAAGUGGUGGCUUUCUGUUCUCUACGGAAGCCGCAAACAGACUACCUUGCUUACCUUGCCUUUUCUUGUGAUGAUUAAACCGUUUUCUGGUGAUAACAUUAUCCAUCAUCUUUUUUUUUUUUUUUUUUGCUUUUCUUUGAGAGACACCACAUAUUUUUUGUUAGUGUGAGAACUAGAAAACUGGAUUCUCAUUGGUACAAUUUCAGUAAUUUGUAGCUGCGUUUCCAUUACACAUAUACGCAAAACAAUAUAGAAAUUCAUUUUUGGAUAAGCUGUGUGAAGCUGUCACAAACAGGCAGACAGCUGGUUCCACGUGCAGCAGGUUUAUUUGUUCAGACAGGAAUAAGGCACAGCUGAAAGUCCACAAAGCUAAAUCAGGGUCAGACAGGUGGAGGUCAAUCACAAGUAUGGGAGUAUCCAAAAAGUGAGUAGAUGUGUCAGGGUCAGGGCAGGCGGCAAGCAAUCAGAAAACAAGCAAGGUCAGAAACAUAAUAUCAGGUCCAGAUAGGAACGCUCAGUAAUACAGGCAGGGUAGCACAAACAAUACUUCGCUCUCAAGUGUCCUGUAGGUGAUUGGCAAGGUGAGUCACCUGAGCUUCAUCUGGGGAGUGUUACAUGUUCAUUUCUAUAUCCCCCCCAAAAACAUAGAAACUUUGUUUUUCUUUUGUAAAUGUGAGUUGUUUUCUCUUUUUUUUUCUUCAAACUUGUGGUAUUUCUAUUAGGGGAAUUUAUAGCCACAAACAGGGGCGGACUUACCAUUUAGCAAAGGUAGGCGAUCACCUGGGCCCCCAAACAAUCAGGGAUCCCAAGCUUAACACUUAAAAAAUAGUCAAAAAUGUUUCAUUAUUGGACUCUGUCAUAAAAAAAACCAUAAGGCAGAUCAUGUGAUCAUGUCAAAGCGUCCCCCCCCCAUCCUUCUACAU